CAAUAGCGUAUAUUAAAGUUGUUGCGGUUAAAAAGUUCGUAGUUGGAUUUCUGCCAAGGACGACCGGUCCGCCCUCUGGGUGAGUAUCUGGCUUGGCCUCGGCAUCUUCUUGGAGAACGUUGCUGCACUUCGCUGUGUGGCGCGGUAUCCAGGACCUUUACUUUGAGGAAAUUAGAGUGUUUCAAGCAGGCAUCCGCCUUGAAUACAUUAGCAUGGAAUAAUAAGAUAGGACCUCGGUUCUAUUUUGUUGGUUUCUAGAGCUGGGGUAAUGAUUAAUAGGGAUAGUUGGGGGCAUUAAUAUUUAGUUGUCAGAGGUGAAAUUCUUAGAUUUACAAAAGAUUAACUUCUGCGAAAGCAUUUGCCAAGGAUGUUUUCGUUAA
RNAcentral lists this ribosomal RNA (380 nucleotides) under uncultured eukaryote. RNAcentral describes it as "partial 18S ribosomal RNA". It matches the Rfam family "Eukaryotic small subunit ribosomal RNA", at positions 592 to 976 of the family's 1831-position model. The record is from RNAcentral.